UAGGGAAUCUUCGGCAAUGGGGGGAACCCUGACCGAGCAACGCCGCGUGAGUGAAGAAGGUUUUCGGAUCGUAAAGCUCUGUUGUUAAGGAAGAACGAGUGUGAGAAUGGAAAGUUCAUGCUGUGACGGUACUUAACCAGAAAGGGACGGCUAACUACGUGCCAGCAGCCGCGGUAAUACGUAGGUCCCGAGCGUUGUCCGGAUUUAUUGGGCGUAAAGCGAGCGCAGGCGGUUAGAAAAGUCUGAAGUGAAAGGCAGUGGCUCAACCAUUGUAGGCUUUGGAAACUGUUUAACUUGAGUGCAGAAGGGGAGAGUGGAAUUCCAUGUGUAGCGGUGAAAUGCGUAGAUAUAUGGAGAAACACCGGUGGCGAAAGCGGCUCUCUGGUCUGUAACUGACGCUGAGGCUCGAAAGCGUGAGGAGCGAACAGG
Molecule: ribosomal RNA, 429 nt
Filed under: Bacteroidota bacterium
Lineage: Bacteria; Pseudomonadati; Bacteroidota
Description: Bacteroidetes bacterium partial 16S ribosomal RNA
Rfam family: Bacterial small subunit ribosomal RNA
Source: RNAcentral